This is a long non-coding RNA of Mauremys mutica (yellowpond turtle), 364 nucleotides long. RefSeq lists it as uncharacterized. The record is from RefSeq and is a predicted model, not a curated record. The transcript is spliced from 3 exons. Lineage: Eukaryota; Metazoa; Chordata; Testudines; Geoemydidae.
AGACACUGCUGCAGGUCCAAAGCAGUUGCCUCCAUUAAUCCCAAGAGCAAAAUGUGGCCCUUUCCAGGUAGAGCUCUCUGACAAGAAGGAAAAUACUAUCUGUGCUAGGUGCUGACAGCAAUGGAAAAUGAAGCCCCACACAAUAGCCUCUGCACUGCAAAUGGUACUUCAAACUUUCAUGUCCUACUUUUCCAUGGUCUUUCCAUCCUUAUUCUGGAGGAGACAUCUACCAAGGUGUUCAGCUGUACAAGGAAGAAAGACCAGCACCCAAAUAUUCUGUCAGAGGCUGCUCUGACCAGAUCUACAGGCUGUACCUGCAUGAGUCAUCUGAGGAGCAGGGAGCUAUUGCUCAAAGGUAGUUUGG